CCUACGGGAGGCAGCAGUGAGGAAUAUUGGUCAAUGGUCGAGAGCCUGAACCAGCCAAGUCGCGUGAAGGAUGAAGGAUCUCUGGUUUGUAAACUUCUUUUAUAGGGGAAUAAAGUUAGGCACGUGUUCCUUUUUGUAUGUACCCUAUGAAUCAGCAUCGGCUAACUCCGUGCCAGCAGCCGCGGUAAUACGGAGGAUGCGCGCGUUAUCCGGAUUUAUUGGGUUUAAAGGGUGAGUAGGUGGGUAAUUAAGUCAGCGGUGAAAGUUUGUGGCUCAACCAUAAAAUUGCCGUUGAAACUGGUUGACUUGAGUAUAUGUGAGGUAGGCGGAAUGCGUGGUGUAGCGGUGAAAUGCAUAGAUAUCACGCAGAACUCCGAGUGCGAAGGCAGCUUACUAAACUAUAACUGACACUGAAGCACGAAAGCGUGGGGAUCAAACAGGAUUAGAUACCCUGGUAGUC
RNAcentral lists this ribosomal RNA (460 nucleotides) under uncultured bacterium. RNAcentral describes it as "partial 16S ribosomal RNA". It matches the Rfam family "Bacterial small subunit ribosomal RNA", at positions 338 to 795 of the family's 1533-position model. The record is from RNAcentral.